RNAcentral lists this signal recognition particle RNA (97 nucleotides) under Siculibacillus sp. RNAcentral describes it as "signal recognition particle sRNA small type". It matches the Rfam family "Bacterial small signal recognition particle RNA". From Rfam's summary of the family: The signal recognition particle (SRP) is a universally conserved ribonucleoprotein involved in the co-translational targeting of proteins to membranes. Archaeal SRP consists of a 7S RNA and homologues of the eukaryotic SRP19 and SRP54 proteins. In most bacteria, the SRP consists of a 4.5S RNA and the Ffh protein (a homologue of the eukaryotic SRP54 protein). RNAcentral also lists the same sequence under 1 other name. The record is from RNAcentral. Lineage: Bacteria; Pseudomonadati; Pseudomonadota; Alphaproteobacteria; Hyphomicrobiales; Ancalomicrobiaceae.
GGAGGUCGGCGGUGGACGUUGUCACUCGCCGACCGGGUCAGGUCCGGAAGGAAGCAGCCCAGACGAGUCGGACGCGGGUCGCGCGUCGGCCUCCUUU